AGUGGGGAAUUUUGGACAAUGGGCGCAAGCCUGAUCCAGCCAUGCCGCGUGCGGGAAGAAGGCCUUCGGGUUGUAAACCGCUUUCGGCCGGAACGAAAUCGGCGGGGUGAAUAGCCUUGCUGGAUGACGGUACCGGAAGAAGAAGCACCGGCUAACUACGUGCCAGCAGCCGCGGUAAUACGUAGGGUGCGAGCGUUAAUCGGAAUUACUGGGCGUAAAGCGUGCGCAGGCGGUGCGCUAAGCCAGAGGUGAAAUCCCCGGGCUCAACCUGGGAACGGCCUUUGGGACUGGUGCGCUCGAGUGCGGCAGAGGGGGGUGGAAUUCCUGGUGUAGCAGUGAAAUGCGUAGAGAUCAGGAGGAACACCGAUGGCGAAGGCAGCCCCCUGGGCCAGCACUGACGCUCAGGCACGAAAGCGUGGGGAGCAAA
RNAcentral lists this ribosomal RNA (427 nucleotides) under uncultured beta proteobacterium. RNAcentral's name for it is "bacterial SSU rRNA". It matches the Rfam family "Bacterial small subunit ribosomal RNA", at positions 353 to 772 of the family's 1533-position model. The record is from RNAcentral. Lineage: Bacteria; Pseudomonadati; Pseudomonadota; Betaproteobacteria.